This 256-nucleotide ribosomal RNA is filed under the name uncultured bacterium. Its description in RNAcentral is "partial 16S ribosomal RNA". It matches the Rfam family "Bacterial small subunit ribosomal RNA", at positions 524 to 776 of the family's 1533-position model. The record is from RNAcentral.
UACAGGGGGGGGCAAGCGUUUGUUCGGAAUUACUGGGCGUAAAGGGUCUGUAGGUGGCCAACUAAGUCAGACGUGAAAUCCCUCAGCUUAACUGGGGAACUGCGUCUGAUACUGGAUGGCUUGAGUGUGGGAGAGGAAUGCGGAAUUCCAGGUGUAGCGGUGAAAUGCGUAGAUAUCUGGAGGAACACCGGUGGCGAAGGCGGCAUUCUGGACCAUAACUGACACUGAGAGACGAAAGCCAGGGGGAGCAAACGGG